This 366-nucleotide long non-coding RNA is filed under the name Carica papaya (papaya). Its description in RNAcentral is "long non-coding RNA (CPAP_LNC016025)". The record is from RNAcentral. Lineage: Eukaryota; Viridiplantae; Streptophyta; Magnoliopsida; Brassicales; Caricaceae.
CGCCACAUAUUAUCUUAAAAUCCAUUUGUUUCCAAUUGAUUUACAUUGAGGCAGGAGAUCAACUAGUUCCCAAACCUUAUUUCUUAUCAUUGAGUCUAUCUCAUCCCUCAUGACAUCAAUCCACUCUUCACUAUUUUGUGAGUUCAUAGCCUCAUUAAAGGUGAUGGGUUCCUCAAGUUCUGAAGGAGUGCAUAUGAAAAUUUCUACUUCGAUUUGGAGAUAUCGUCGUGGAAUUUUUCCACGUUCACUACUUCAAAUUCUAGGACCUUCAUCACCUGCCUAACUAGAUGAUAAAUCUCUCCCACUAUCCCUUGGCGUGAGAUUUGGAAUUUGAAGACUAAUCUCAUGUUCCAAGCUCAGAUCUUG